GCGGUACCUUCUUGUGGUUUUCAAGAUUGGGCGUGUGGACAGCGUUUUCCACAGGGACCCACAGCCACAGCUGGGGCGCCCUGCAGCCCUUUCAUGCCUGGCAGUCACAACCUUUAAUUUUUGGGGGGGAUGGGAGGCCCUGUGGUGUUGUUGGUUUUAUUCAGGGUUUUGGCUUACAGAGAAUCUUGAUGAUUUCUUUGUUAUUGUACAGUAACCAAGACUGACGGUCGGCAAGUCAUGUGGCAGUGCCCCGACACCUUCACAGGCCAGCGAGCCCAGAGGGAAAAGUGCGGUGGGUGAGCUGACCCGGGGACCCUACCGCCCGCUCGCCCGCCUGCAGCUGCCUCGAACUCUUGCUCAAGAACUUUCCCAGGCUCUGGGCGUGUGUCAGAGUUGCAAAAAUAACAAAUGGACCUUCACUGUUUGUCUCUUAAGUAAGGAGAAGUAUGAUGUGUUUUCUAGUGAGGAACAGAAUGAGGUUUGGUUCCUAGAAGAUGACCAGGCCUUGGAGGGAUGCUCGGUCCCCGCUUGCUACAUAGUCGGCCUGGAGUAGGAGUUGGGCAGAUGAAUUCCAGGACCGUUGUAUGCAAAGGCACAAUAUUUACAUGCAUCUGGUACAUACCCUCCCAUACACUUAAGCCAUCUCUGGACCACUUAUAAUAACUAGUGCAAUGUAAAGUGUGAGGUAAAAGAGUUCUUAGGCUGUAGUUUUUAUUUGCAUUAUCGUAAUAAGAGUUUUAAUUGUUUUUCUAUUUUAAUAUUUCCUAUCCGAGGCUUCCUGCAGAUGAGGCUCUGGAAUGCACAGGGAGAGAGGGUUGCCUGGGUUGCAGCUUUGAAUUCUUCCCGAGCAGGUGCUCACAGCGUGCCUCUCGGUGCAGUUCCUGAUAUUUCUGGUAAUGCACUUUUGUAGAGUUAUGGAGUUGUCUGCCUAGAAAAUUACGCAAGCCUUGGAAAUAAGCACAGAGUAGAAAUCUAUGUUGUUUUACUGCCAUAUGUACUGGAGCCCUGCCCAACUGUUGUUUAAAUCUCCGGGGAAUGUACCUUUGUGUCACGUGGGACUAACUAGUAAUUAGGACCCAGACCCGCCAGAGGCUGCAAGUUCCUGGUAGAAGCGACCUAAGGGAGACAAAUAGGAGACAGAAAACAUGAAAAAUUUAUCCAGUAGUCGGAAGGAAAGCUUACGAGCAGCUGUGUCCCUUCAGCGCCAUCCCAGAAAGACGUCACCUUUGGGCAGGUUGUGUUCCUGGCCGGAAGAAACCACAGGAUCCACAGGCCAUGGUUCUUGUUUUUCUGGAACCAUUAACCAACCAAACCCAAUCAGCUGGAGGAGAGAGUUUGGAUCAUGGUGUUGGGCUGUGAGCUUCCGGUUUCUAUGGUGAGUGCAGCUGGCUUUUCUGGGGCUGAGGGUGGGGCUGAGCUCUGAGAGUAGCCCCAGUCCGUGGUUGGGUCCGGUGGGAGGUCUCUGAGAUCAUGGUGGUUCCUGAGCCUACAGUGGAGCUGUCCUGGCCUGUCCUCAACUAAUGGGGACUCUCGGGACCUGCUGCUGCUUGGAUGCACCUUUCUCUCUCAGCAUCGCAACUUGUAAAGCUAUUUAUUUGCAUCCCCGGUCUCUUUUAAAACGCCCCAUUUCCCAGGUGCCUGCGCUGCACCACAUUCAUAGAUGUGUGUCCAGCCACCUCAGGCUUGUUUAUCUUACAACUCACCAAUUCGGCUCCUUGGAAAACCCUGCCUGGGUGGCGCGGACAUAGGGCUGCCGUUGUAACAGAACAUCGUUGGAAGGGCUGAUUACACAUUAUGGUGUCACUUGGGUGUGGUGGUGCACGCCAGUAAUCCCAGCCCUUGGAAGGCUGAGGUAGGAGGAUCCUUGCGAGUUCAAGACCAGCCUGGGCUACAAAGUGAGCUCAAGGCCAGCCUGAACUGCAUAGUGAGAGCCUGUCUCAAAAAGACAAAAUUUAAAAAAAAAUGGCAUGUGUGUGUGUGCAUGCACAUGCAUGUGUGUUACAAUAAAAACAUUUUAUUACAGUAAACGAUACAUUGUUGUUAUCCCCCAAAUGUCCUUCCCUUGCUUCUACCACACUUAUUCCAUCAUUCUUGCCUCGUCCUGCAGCAGGUCUGAAAGUCUUCUUUCAUGAGGGUCUUUACACGGGGUGAUCAAAAAUGAGGGGAAUGCUGCUAUCAAGCGCCAUUCAACAGAAAGGCAGGUUUGUAAAGACAGAAAGAAAGAAACUGUCUUCAUCCACCAUGUUCACCAGAUCUGGGACCAUGUGACUCCUCCUUAAAAUGACCAUGAGAGGUCAUCGUUUGGAAUUUACCCAGGACAUCCAGGCAGCCAUGAGUGUGCAAGUAGACACACAAAUUGGACCUCCAGAACUGUCCCAGAGGUGGCAAGGACAGUGAGUAGGAGUCUCUUGAGAGAGGGAUUAGUAGUCAAGUGUCUUUCACUGUAAUGAUUUGUAACAAUGUAAAUCUGGCCCUAUUUUGUGAUCACCUUAUAAGCUUCUGUGAACCACAAAUGAAGUUUGAAAAUGUACACAGUGGACCAGCUUCUCUCCUCUUGCUCACUCUUUCCUAGGGCCACGUGUGCAUAACACACACACACACACACACACACACACACACGCACACACACACACACGUGAGGACAUCCCACUCUGUGCCACAAAGCAGGCUCUGAGCGUGAGAGCACACAGGAACUCUGCUCUGGUGAGCUUAAUUUGGGCUGUGUGAUUGUCUUGUGGUUACUCUGCCCCAAGGCCAGACCACAGCGAGGGGCCCCCUCCCUCCGCAACCACACCAAAGUGGGGGAAGGGACCUGGGGCAACAAAGGAAGAGCUUUUCCCAUCCCCGUGAGAAGGUGACCGCAGCAGCCUGCCUGGAAGGUUCUGGGGUGGGGGCCGUGGCUGGUUCUGAACUUUGUCUCUGGGAAGUUUGGGUUACAGCUGAGUACAGAGGCCACAGGGAGACACUCGCCCUGGGCUUCUUCCUUGACUAGUAUACUUGGUCACUACAGAGGGCAGAGGCUUGGUGGCACGACCAGCUGGCCAGAUCAUUAAGCCCAAACGGCGCUGUGCUCAGGGAGUGCUCCUUUGACCUCACUCUGGCCAGUCCUUCUCCCCUCCCUGGCUUCCUAUCCUCUAUCUAGCAAUCCAUUAAGUUCAGUAUUUUAUAAAUGAGUCCCAUGAGGCCUUGUUUUGGAAACUGGAUUUAGUGAGUAAGGCACAUGCCUAUGUUUUGAUCACUUCUCUCUCUUGAUAUCCAGAAGGAAUAAAGUAAUUAGCAAUACAUUUCAGGCUGAUGGGACUUGUCAGUUCUGUGGUCGGAGGGCAGUUUUUUAGAGAGGUGGUCUAGUAUAGGGUUGAGGGCUGGACUUGGACAUCAGCCGGGCUUGGGCUGCCCUGUAGCAAUGCCCAUGCAUUCCAGUUUCUCCGUCUGAGAAAUGGGAAUGAUGGUGUCCCCAGGGUUAUUGUGAGGUGUCCUGGUCUAGCUCAUGGGGAGGGCUCCUAGUAAUGGUGGCCAUUGUUAAGUUGUUGGUGGGCUGGGAUGGCGCAGAGGCCCUUAGAGGAGGACCUUAUUGGAGAAAAUGCAGGUUCCAGGUCUCAGUGGGAGCAGGGAGCCCCUGCUGGCUGAUCAGGAAGGUUGUGGGGCUUGGGGACCCCAGUUGCUCAGGGCUCUAUGGCUCUCGGCCUCCAUGUUGGUGAGCUGGUGAGGGACCCCAGGCUGAGCAGGUGCCUUGUGGCAGAUGAGUCCCUGCAGGACUGUGCAGGGGAAUGACUGCAGGGAUGAAAGAGGAGGGUGAAGCUGGGCCUGGUGCCUUGUGCCUGGGUCUCUAGAGUUCAGCAGGCAGAGGCAGGAGGAUGGCAAGUUAAAGGUCACUUAGCCCACAUAGCGAGAGCCUGUCAGAAAACCAGAAAUACACAGGAGGGCUUAAUGGGAAGUACAGACACUUGUGGAGAGAAGUGGGUGUUUGAAAUCAGUGGAUGAGCUGUUCUGUAUGUGGGAGGAGGCAUGACUCCUUAGAAGGCCAGGGCCAGUCCUGCUUUCCUGCCUCAAUG
Molecule: long non-coding RNA, 4052 nt
Organism: Cavia porcellus (domestic guinea pig)
Lineage: Eukaryota; Metazoa; Chordata; Mammalia; Rodentia; Caviidae
Exons: 4
Source: RefSeq, a predicted model, not a curated record